CAGUCGCCACGGGAAUACGAAGGGGGCUAGCGUUGCUCGGAAUCACUGGGCGUAAAGGGUGCGUAGGCGGGUCUUUAAGUCAGGGGUGAAAUCCUGGAGCUCAACUCCAGAACUGCCUUUGAUACUGAAGAUCUUGAGUAUGGGAGAGGUGAGUGGAACUGCGAGUGUAGAGGUGAAAUUCGUAGAUAUUCGCAAGAACACCAGUGGCGAAGGCGACUCACUGGCCCAUAACUGACGCUGAGGCACGAAAGCGUGGGGAGCAAACAGGAUUAGAUACCCGUGUAGUCCCUGUCUCUUAUAC
Molecule: ribosomal RNA, 301 nt
Filed under: uncultured bacterium
Lineage: Bacteria
Description: partial 16S ribosomal RNA
Rfam family: Bacterial small subunit ribosomal RNA
Source: RNAcentral